RNAcentral lists this ribosomal RNA (253 nucleotides) under uncultured bacterium. Its description in RNAcentral is "partial 16S ribosomal RNA". It matches the Rfam family "Bacterial small subunit ribosomal RNA", at positions 524 to 776 of the family's 1533-position model. The record is from RNAcentral.
UACGUAGGGGGCUAGCGUUGUCCGGAUUUAUUGGGCGUAAAGAGCGUGUAGGCGGCCAAGCAGGUCCGCUGUGAAAACUCGAGGCUCAACCUCGAGACGUCGGUGGAAACCGUUUGGCUAGAGUCCGGAAGAGGAGAGUGGAAUUCCCGGUGUAGCGGUGAAAUGCGCAGAUAUCGGGAAGAACACCCGUGGCGAAGGCGGCUCUCUGGGACGGUACUGACGCUGAGACCCGAAAGCGUGGGGAGCGAACAGG